This 716-nucleotide ribosomal RNA is filed under the name Zoantharia gen. n. sp. s HK-2022. RNAcentral's name for it is "partial small subunit ribosomal RNA". It matches the Rfam family "Bacterial small subunit ribosomal RNA", at positions 521 to 1381 of the family's 1533-position model. Lineage: Eukaryota; Metazoa; Cnidaria; Anthozoa; Zoantharia. The record is from RNAcentral.
UUAGACUUAGGGGCCAAGCCUUUAUGAGCAAAGGGGCGUAAAGGGUGUGUAGGCCGACUGCCCCCACCCCCCCCAAGGUGGUAAAUGGAAUUUUUCUGUAGCGGUAGAAUGUGCGGAUAGAAAAUAGAACCCCAAAAGCAGAAGCAAUUUACCGCGGGGCGGGAGGGGGGUGGCCCUUGAGGCGCCCCCCCGGGCCACGGGCUGAAACACGAGGGUGUGGGGAACAAACAGGAUUAGAGACCCUGGUAGUCCACACUGUAAACGAUGGAGAAAAUGCGAAUGCAGCCCCGAAAGGCAGCAAUCUCCCGCCUGAGUAGUACGAUCGCAAGAUUAAAAUUCCAAAAAUUUGGCUGUUCACCGUUUCGAUUAGAGGAGCGUGUAGUUUAAUUCGAUAAACCGCGAGAUACCUUACCCAAACUUGAAUCGCCCCACCCGCGACCCUUGUGGUCCCGGGGGUGGUGACCGGUAUUGCAUGGCCGUCGUCAGUUCGUGUAUGAAACCUUAAACGGACCCAACCCGAGGAUUAGCCGCGGAUGAAGUCAGGUCUUAUGGUCCCAAUGUUUGGGGAUAAUAUGCGCUACAUUUUCUUAUACAAUGGGAAACCUGGGAGGUGAAACCCAAAAGUGAGAGUUCGGUAGGCUAUUGGAAGAUGGCCGAAAGUUGAAUUUAAUAGUAAUCGGAAAGUAUAGCGUUCCGGUGAAAAUGGUCUAGGUGUU